CUCAUAACGGUUUCCCCUCAAACGGCUACGUUUUAUGUUCUCAAUUUUCUUUCUUGCUUCGCUGAGCUUCACAGAAAAAGACUGGAAAGGCCAACACCCGUUGGCAAGUGAACAGCUCUCUCUUUCCUUGUUAGGCUUCAAUCAUCAAUCUCACCUUCUUCAAUGUAUUUUCCCUCUCCCCCUCUCUCUCUCUCUCCACGGUGACAUUCCGAUUCUUAAACCUCUCCCCCACCGACGACGCCGACGAUGCAGAGGUGGCAUGCGAUCGAUCGUUCAGGUUCUAAUUCGGUGUCUGUUUCCUCUUCUCCUGUUGAAUGCUGUAACCUCAAUGUAAAGGGCGCCAUUUCUUAUCCUCAUAUUUGCCUUUGUCAAAUCCUUGGCAUUCAAGUUUGAGGUUAAAAGCAGGAACAUCUUAGCAACUGGAUUGCUAUCCUGUGAUGAUCAAUUUCCAUAUACAAUAAAUUAUUUCUUCAAAAAUGGUGUUUGGUAGAAUAGCAGAUACAUUUUCUGCCAUGACAAGCCAUUUUUUGACCUCCAAGACUUCUGCUGUUUCGUAUAUGUCGACAGGAUCGUCACCACCUCCAGCAGAAACCAUUGAUCAUGGUUUUGGUUUUGCCAACUCUGGCUACAAAAAUAAUUUGCGUCUUUCUUCAUCUCUCCAAGAUUUCUCAUCAUACCGACGACUUGAUCUUGAAGAAGGUGCUUGUAACAUUGGGAUUGAUAAGAAGCCUUAUUUGUUGCAGAGAGAAAAUGCUGGAUCAAGUUUUUCAAAGGAGAAACCAUUGUCUGGCAGAACCCCAUUUUUAUGGAGAAAGUGGGUGCGAUUGGUCGUGAUUCUUUUCUGCCUGCUACUGCUUGGUUUCCUGACUUAUCUGAUUAUAGCAUAUAUUUUUUCUUAUUGGUCUCAAGGAUAUUCCAAGUUCUAUGUUGUUCUUGAUUGUGGAAGUACUGGAACUCGAGUUUAUGUAUAUCAGGCAUCAAUUGAUCACAACAAAGAUAGAAGUCUCCCCAUUGCUCUUAAAUCACUAACAGAGGGUCUUUCUAGAAAGUCAAGUGGACGUGCCUAUGACCGAAUGGAAACUGAGCCUGGGCUUCAUUUGUUGGUACGUAAUACAUCUGGCUUAAAGGCUGCAAUAAAGCCACUUGUUCGGUGGGCUGAGAAGCAAAUCCCUGAGCAUGCUUAUAAGUCUACGUCUCUUUUCCUUUAUGCUACAGCUGGGGUUCGCAGGCUGCCAAGUACCGAUUCAAAAUGGCUUCUAGACAAGGCAUGGUCCAUACUGAAGGAAUCGCCCUUCUUGUGCCAGAGAGCGUGGGUCAAGGUUAUCAGUGGAAUGGAUGAAGCUUACUAUGGAUGGAUUGCCCUUAACUAUCAAACGGGUAUGUUGGGGAACAGCCCCAAGAAAGCAACAUUUGGUGCACUUGACAUGGGUGGCUCAUCAUUACAGGUGACAUUUGAGAGCAAGAAACCCGGGCAUAAUGUGACUGACUUAAACCUUAGGAUCGGAGCUGCUAAUCAUCACCUCACUGCCUAUUCUCUUGCAGGCUAUGGUUUAAAUGAUGCAUUUGACAGGUCUGUUGUCCAUAUCUUGAGAGGGCUUCCUAGUGCAGAUCUAGUAAGGGGGAACAUAGAAAUUAAACACCCUUGCCUGCAAACUGGCUAUAAGGAGCAAUACAUCUGUUCUCAGUGUGCUUCUAAUCAACAAAAUAGUGUGAGCCCUGUUGUUUUAGGAAGAAAUUCAGGUAAGGGAGUCAAGUCAGGAGUUCCCGUCCAGCUUAUUGGUGCCCCAAAUUGGGAAGAAUGUCGUGCACUAGCCAAAGUUGCCAUCAAUUUGUCUGAAUGGUCUAAUCAAAGUGCAGCAAUUGAUUGUGAUGUGCAACCUUGUGCUCUACCUGAUAUUUUUCCACGUCCUUAUGGUCGAUACUAUGGAAUGUCUGGCUUUUUUGUGGUUUAUCGGUUUUUUAACCUGACUUCAGAAGCUGCACUUGAAGAUGUUUUGGAGAAGGGUCGUGAAUUUUGUGAGAAGACCUGGGAAGUUGCAAGGAAAAGUGUUCCUCCACAGCCAUUUAUUGAACAAUACUGCUUUAGGGCACCAUACACAGUGUUAUUGUUGAGAGAGGGUUUACAUAUCACAGAUGACCACAUUAUUAUUGGUUCUGGAAGUAUUACUUGGACACUUGGUGUUGCUCUUUUUGAAGCUGGGAAGGCAUUUUCACCUAGACUGAGACUUCCUACUUAUCAAAUACUUCAAAUGAAGAUACAUCCGAUAUUUCUUAUUGCCAUUCUGAUUAUUUCAUUGAUUUUGCUGGUUUGUGCAAUAUCGUGUCUUGGCAAUGGGAUGCCAAGAGUUUUUCAAACACCAUAUCUUCCACUUUUCAGGCAUAACAGUGCAUCUGCUACAGCAGUACUUAGUAUCCCUUCACCAUUCCGGUUCCAACGAUGGAGUCCUAUUAAUUCUGGGGAUGGAAGAGCAAAGAUGCCACUUAGUCCAACAGUUACUGGGAGCCAACAAAGAUCAUUUGGGUUGGGACAUGGUCUGGGCAGUAGUGGCAUCCAGCUUAUAGAGUCAUCAUUAUACCCAUCAACUAGUGGUGUAUCACAUAGUUAUUCCUCAAGUAGCUUAGGGCAGAUGAUUGACAGUAAUGGCAUGGGUUCGUUCUGGUCUCCUCACAGAAGUCAGAUGCGCCUUCAGAGCAGGAGAUCACAAUCUCGAGAAGACCUUAGUUCUUCUUUGGUCGACGCGCACAUGGUGAAGGUUUAAGGAAUAGACUUCCUGAAGUUAUGGUAUGGUAACUUUCUUCUUCCCUACAUUAUGUUUUUUAAGGGAAAAGGAUUUAAACAUCUUCUUGAUGGAAAAAAGAAAAAGAGAAAAAAGAGAAAGAA
RNAcentral lists this unclassified non-coding RNA (2881 nucleotides) under Hevea brasiliensis (rubber tree). The record is from RNAcentral. Lineage: Eukaryota; Viridiplantae; Streptophyta; Magnoliopsida; Malpighiales; Euphorbiaceae.